This 447-nucleotide ribosomal RNA is filed under the name uncultured bacterium. RNAcentral's name for it is "SSU rRNA". It matches the Rfam family "Bacterial small subunit ribosomal RNA", at positions 26 to 518 of the family's 1533-position model. The record is from RNAcentral.
AGAGCGAACGCUGGCGGCAGGCCUAACACAUGCAAGUCGAGCGCCCGUAGCAAUACGGGAGCGGCAGACGGGAUAGUAACACGUGGGAACGCGCCCUUCGGUUCGGAAUAACUCAGGGAAACUUGAGCUAAUACCGGAUACGCCCUUACGGGGAAAGAUUUAUUGCCGAAGGAACGGCCCGCGUCCGAUUAGCUAGUUGGUGAGGUAAUGGCUCACCAAGGCUACGAUCGGUAGCUGGUCUGAGAGGAUGACCAGCAUCACUGGGACUGAGACACGGCCCAGACUCCUACGGGAGGCAGCAGUGGGGAAUAUUGGACAAUGGGCGCAAGCCUGAUCCAGCCAUGCCGCGUGGAUGAUGAAGGCCUUAGGGUUGUAAAGUCCUUUUAAGGGGAAGUAUAAUGACGGUACCCGUAGAAUAAGCCCGGCUAACUUCGUGCCAGCAGCCGC